This 493-nucleotide ribosomal RNA is filed under the name uncultured bacterium. RNAcentral describes it as "bacterial SSU rRNA". It matches the Rfam family "Bacterial small subunit ribosomal RNA", at positions 9 to 507 of the family's 1533-position model. The record is from RNAcentral.
GAGUUUGAUCAUGGCUCAGGACGAACGCUGGCGGCGUGCUUAACACAUGCAAGUCGAGCGGAAAGGCUCCUUCGGGGGUACUCGAGCGGCGAACGGGUGAGUAACACGUGAGUAAUCUGCCCUUGGCUUUGGGAUAACUACCGGAAACGGUGGCUAAUACCGGAUACGACCACUCCUUGCAUGAGGUGGUGGUGGAAAGUUUUUUCGGCCAGGGAUGUGCUCGCGGCCUAUCAGCUUGUUGGUGGGGUAAUGGCCUACCAAGGCUUCGACGGGUAGCCGGCCUGAGAGGGUGACCGGCCACACUGGGACUGAGACACGGCCCAGACUCCUACGGGAGGCAGCAGUGGGGAAUAUUGGACAAUGGGCGGAAGCCUGAUCCAGCAACGCCGCGUGAGGGAUGACGGCCUUCGGGUUGUAAACCUCUUUCAGUACCGACGAAGCGCCGAUGAUGGUGGUGACGGUAGGUACAGAAGAAGCACCGGCCAACUACGUG